Molecule: long non-coding RNA, 4615 nt
Filed under: Triticum aestivum (bread wheat)
Lineage: Eukaryota; Viridiplantae; Streptophyta; Magnoliopsida; Poales; Poaceae
Description: long non-coding RNA (TAES_LNC000636)
Source: RNAcentral
UUAUCAUUUCUCUGAAGUCUGAACCUCGCCUAGUUCUUGGUCCAAUGUGAGUAUGCUUCAGAGAUAAUGAUUUCUUAUGUAACAUGCGCUUUCACAUCUGAAAAAGCACAUAAAUAUAUAUAAUAGGAAUAGUAAUCAGAUGCUCAAAAACUAUAACCUGAACAUAUCAGUGCUUAAACCAAAUUAUCUAUACACAACCAUAAAAACUAAAAGAACCAUCUAACAGAACCAUGGAAGGCUUAGGUUGCAUGUCCUCAACUGAAAUGGGUGAGUUCUGGGCAUCCUUCUAAGCUACUCUGUUUAACAUAGCUCAUGAUCAAUACUUCAUGCAUUUACCAAGCCUGCUAAUGCUUUUUUGAAGUUGACGUCCCUAUUUAAAAUUCAAAUAUCAAUUUGCACCAAUAAAAUAUUUCUUGAUAUGUAGGUGCAUCCGACAAACUGUAGACACGAAAUAUUCAUUGCAUGAACCAAAAGUAGAUGAGCUACCUGUAGAUGCAAGGAAAUAAUGACAAACUGCAACCAGUUCUCCUAUCAGUAUGUAACUGUGUGCCAUUAAUCUCAAUAUACCUCACUCUUGGGCGAAGUCAAGAUCCAUUCUAGAUCAGUGCAAGAAGCUUCAAUACUACACCUUCCAUAAAAUACAGGAACUUGUCCAUAUUUUACUGCAUCUCCCAAUAGCAGCAAUAUCAUAAUCUUCUGCCGCUUGCUCCCUUCUUCUAGUUUCAGCAAGAAAAAAUUAUUCAGUAAACUGAAAUUGAAAAUCUUUUGGGAAGUAGGUCGGCUCGGUGUGAAGCAAUGGUUUUAGGUAACUGUCUCUGGUUCAAACUUUGCCAAUGGGUGUGUAUCGUCAACCAUAUUUCUACCUUCCAGUAAGCACGAAAGAUAAUUAUUCCAAAACUACCUACGUGAACAUCAUUGUCUGCAUAUAUCGAGAAAUAAAGAUAAAUUCCUAUAACUACUGGCUUGUUCCUACAGGAUAAAGAAAAUGUUCUUUUUUCGCUAUUUUACCUUGGCAGACAUCAAGGGCAUUCAGUGAUAACACCAUUCUUAAAUAUGUCUCCACCAAAGUAAUCAUAGCAUGCCCUGUUGGUAAAACAUGAACAAUUCUUAUUUAUCUGCAUUCAAAUUUGAUGACAAAGCAUACUGGAGAGCAGGAAACAGCUAUAGGUUUCUGAAGUUAGAAAAAAAAUCAGUGCUUAAAUGGCAUAUAGGCUUCAGGUCAGAUCAUUUUUUUAUAAAAUUGUCCUGUCGUGCUCACACAAUAUUAUGCAUCUAAUCCUAGGCAUUUAAGUAACCAAAUUACUGUGAAUAAUCUGUGGACACAUAUUUAUCUAUUCUGAGCCAACUUCUUUGGAUUCCUAACUUGUAUAGCUGAAUCAAACUCACUUAAUCAAGCGGAUGCUAUGAGCUGCAAGGCUAAAGAGAAUAUGUUACAACUAUUCGUACUACAGUCAAAAAAUUGCACACAUGAUAAAUUUUGACAUUCGCCGGUGAGGAAAGAACAUCAAAAGCUGCUACUAUAUACUGGGUUAAGUGGAUGGAACAAAAAUCACAAAUCUAUACCAAAAUAAUUUGUAUAUAGCCAUAAAACAAAAUCCAUUGCAAGAAGAUGCUACGUACAUACCUUGACCUACAGCAGCAGCAGCAGCCAAACACUAACAGAGAGCACCUUCAAUGAGCAGACUAAGCAGCAUGUGGCGAGGGGAAGUGGCACCACUUGACCACCAUACAACACUCAUCAUCAGGUCAGUGUCCACACUACCCAAGCCUCAAACUCUAGGUUCAUCUCUUUUGUCAAUCUGUCGAGUUGAAUUGAUGCUCUUGGGUAGUGAGAGACACGAUCCAUGGAGGUAGAUUGGGUACAGGGGUUAGAACUUGGUCUUGAACUUGGUGUCGGGACGAUGUGGGCGCAGCCGGGGCGUAAACCAUCAAUAACCAUAUUCCUUGUGCUGAAAACAUAGUCAUGUACCCUUGUAAAUACAAUCAUAAUAAACCUGCUCUAAUGUCGGUCACUACCCGUCUCAAUUCCCCUAACUCGAGGUUGCAACUUGCAACUUCAAGAAUCAUUCUAAUAAAAUAAUACCGCGAGUGUUUUCCCAUCAGGGGUGAUGUCCCUGUCAUGGAAGCACCGCCUGUCAACUCCAAGCUUCUUCAUGAACUCGAAUUGAGAUAUCACCAAAACAGAAAUCGAAGCAUAAGUUGUUGAUUCCAGCCAUGGACCUAAGACACAAGAUCAGGUAAUUCCCAUACUUCUUCUCUUAGCCAUGGCCAGGGAAUUUGUGCCAUCCUCCCAAGGCCAGUUCUUUGUAGGUGCACCAAAAGGAUCUCCUCCAGUACCCCGAAACAUAUGCCAGAAUGCCACACUGAACUGCAACCUAACCUGUAGCACAAAACAAAUAUAUAAUCCUAGUGCAGCACAUAAUGUACAAGUAAAUUAAAAGGAUAAUCCUAGUGAGCAAAUGAAUCAACCCUCUGUAAAAUUUAAUAUAUAUCAUGCACGCAAAUAUCAAAGGAAUAUAAGAAAUGUAGGUGGACAAUAUGUACAGGACACCGUUCAUAACAUGGAAUUAACUAAGAAAUUUCUAGCCAGUCUUACAAUCCUUGUUUCUUGAGUUUGCCUAGAUCAUGAAGGUGAGAAAGAGCAUCAACUGUAGUGAGCAAAUGUCAACCCUCUGUACUCAGUAGAAUGGUUUGUGAUUUAGGAAUAUGUGGCCUUGGUAAGGAAAGUUAAGAUUUGCAAGGAAAGAUUAGUACAGGGAUGGAUCGGGCUGGGUGGGGCUCUCAUGAUCAUCCAUUUGGGUAUGCUAGAAAAAAACCAGAGGAAAAUCGGUGGGCUUUUCUUUCUUUGGAAAAAAAUCAGACGGGAGGUGGGCUAGCAUUGAGAAAAUCGGUGGAGGGGGCUAGCAAUUGAAUUUCAGUUUUAGUACUAUUAAGUACUUUCUCAACAGUACUAAAUGCUCCUUUACUCGGUGGUCAAAUGCAUGCCAUUGUUCUGCAGUAUGCAGGUGUGUUAUCAAGUAAUCAUAACUCUGAGCGUCUAAAAUAAAGCAUGAAAAUUACGAAACACACCUUGCACAUUUUGUUGUGUAAUAGGAACGACAUCCAAUUCCAAUACUGAUGGUAAAUGAGACCGGAGGAGAAGUGUCAGCUCAAGUAAAAUCAUUUACAUCGACCUUCACCUUAGAAUUAAUAUGAAUUAGUAUGUAAUCAUCAACAUCAAAAGCAGUAUUUCCUAUGGACCGAGACAAUUCUCAGAUGUGUCCAUAAAAGGGCUACUAAGAAGGAACCAAAAUCAUGAUUAUCUUACCAAAAUUAUGCACUUCCGAUGGGCUUGAACAUGAGAUCUCCGCGGUGUGGCAAAUAACAUCUAAACUACCAGUAUCUGCAUGAUGCCAAGACGAGAAAGGUAGCGUCACCUCCACCGUGUCUCUGACAUUCAUGAUCUGCCCCGCUGUUGUAUCAAUGGCCGUGGCAACUGAAUAUUUGUAUCAACGACAUGCUUUCAUGCUCUGCUCGGCUGCUGUGUCAAUGAUGUAGUUGGAGUCCCUUCUUUGCUUCUCGAGGCAUAGACCAUGGACGCCCUCUUGGGAGCGACUUUCAGUAGAACAGACGCCUAACGCACGACCGACGGCAACACCCUCCAGUGCGCGACAUCAUUUCUUCAUCCUACUACGGCAGUCGUCCUUCGAGUUUCAAACUUUGUCCAAAAACUUUGAAUCGUAGGAAUUAUCAUUUUCGGAAAUACGCUACACAAUGAAACGAGUACACAUGUGGCAGCUGAAAUGUUUUUGACAGAAAUAAUGUUGUAGCUAAAAGCAUUUCUAGCAACCUAAAGGAACAACCACUGCUGCUGAUUUUAUAGACACAUACUUAUGUAGAUUAUUGUAUGAACAACCCCUAAACUAUGUGUGUGUAGUUUCAGAAUUUUAAUAUCACUUGACACCAAAGAUGGCUAUGAUCAGAAGGAUAGAAAGACAUGCAUACUUAGUGUUUAUUCCCCAUCAGUUUGUGAUAAAUGAAAGGUGUUAACCAAGCAUAAUGUGCACAGGAUCUGUCCUGGUAAUUCAUUUCCAAUAAAGCCAGGUGAUUUUUCAGCAAAAAGAAUGGCAUGUGAUCCCAUGAUAAUUAUUUUUUAAUUUUUUUGCGAAAACCAUGAUACAGUUAUUAGAUAUAUCUAGUGUCGAUCGGUCCUACUGUGGCCUUAAGAGAAUAAGUAGACAUGCGGCCAGAAACAUAUAUAUAGGUAGAUAUCAUAAGGUCCAGGUUCUGUCCAGAACAAUCGUCUCUAGCAAGUCACCAAAUCAAAAUAUAUCCAUUUGUGCAAUUGUACUGAGUUUGAACAUGCUUAAAUACAUAGAAAUUAGAAAGUAAAUAGCAGAUUAUAUUGUCUGAAACUGAUCUUCCUGGAGAGGAUUAUAUUAGCAGCAACUGAUUAGUUCUAACAAAAUAUGAUUCGUCUAUUUACUUAAAUAAUGGUUCACUUAUUCACCUUCAAUGUUUUGGCGUGAUGGUGUUGAUUCCCUUUCUGCCCUGCUUGUAAUCUCAUCAGGGCUUGAAAUUUCCAAUUUGUUGAUGCUUGAAGGGCAACCAUCUGCUACGUUCAACACGGACACCC